This 15340-nucleotide long non-coding RNA is filed under the name Solanum tuberosum (potato). RNAcentral's name for it is "long non-coding RNA (STUB_LNC003600)". The record is from RNAcentral. Lineage: Eukaryota; Viridiplantae; Streptophyta; Magnoliopsida; Solanales; Solanaceae.
AAUAUGACAAUCGUCACUCAUAGUCCAUGUGCUCUCCUUCCUCUUUUCAACAUCUAACUCAACCAUCAUAAUGUGGAAUUCUUUGGAUGGCUUCGAGAUGUGCUCAGACACUUCCAUCUUCGUGAAUAAAUUUUGAAGGGUUUGUAACUCCCAUACUUGACUUCUUGUGAAUAGUUUAAAGGCCCUAGUGUGUGCCUUUAUAAACUUUGCAAAGCAUAACAAAGGAAUCAAUUGAAUUUUGCGUUAAGUGAGAAUAACAAGUCAGAGCUCUCGCUAUCAAAGUUUUGCAGAAUGUUUUUACCAAAACCUUCUUGAUUUCAUCCAUCAUACUUUGCAACAUACAAACAUAGUCUUACUGUAUCCUUUAGGCUGGAGUUUUCUUUCAUAAACUACUUACUUGAGGACUUUUAUCAGUUUCCCCCUAUAUAUUGGAUAGUCUUACUGUAUCCUUUAGGCUCAACUUCAUGUUAUUUGUGUUGUUCCUUCAGCCUUCAUCAUCCUACUCACUGAGAACGUGUGAGUCGAAAUUUCUCUAUGACACUCUACCAUGUCUUCUACCACUCGGGCUUGUUCUUCAAUCGAUAUUUAACCCCACACAGCUCGAGGGGUGCCUAUUCGUUGUUCUGGGCCAAGUGACUGUUUCACUUGUUGGCAUUUAGUUGUUUGUCAAUCAUAUUGUGAUUCUUGUAGAAUUUUCCUGCAAAGCAAAUUCUAAAAAGAUAGCAUGCAUAUAGACGAUUGAACGAUUAAAACAACACCACAAUGGUCCUAUGUGUGCCAAAUUGUUUAACCAAAAAAGUACAAUUAAUAUUGAAUUCAUCAAGCGGUUUAAAGGUAGGUGAGUUAGUGAAUGAAAUAAAUUACGAUAAUAAUAGAAUAUACUGAAUUGAAAAUACGAAAGUAAUCAAGUUGUGUUUUAGAUCAUGAGAAUUGACCUUUGAGGCCUAAGUAUGUUGUGUCCGGCCGAAUGACUUAUGAACUAAAUUACUAAGAGUACUUGUUGCUUAUAUAUAGAAAAUAUGUUUGCAUGAAUAAAUAUAUAAAUCGAAAAAUAUGGAGCCCCUAACAUUGAUGUCUACUGAGCUAAUUAUAAAUAACAAACCAUGUAACUAAUUUUAUCUCACUCAUGCAUGAUUUUUGCAUGUGUGUAUAUGAACAACACACAAAUUAUUAUUCAUUAUUAAUUGAUGUUUACAUCGAAUUAUAAUAAUUUAUUAUAAUUGGUAUAAAUAUUGAAUAUGAAUUAUUAUUUUUGUUGGAUAACCACAAUAAUCAUGGUAUCCAAGUCAUUGUAUUUGGAAUAUAUAUCCAAAUCUAGUUUGGAAAAUGAGAUUCUUAAAAGUCACUGACAUUCUUUCUUCAAUUUAAGUUACACUAGGUAGUUAAUUAUUGUGAUUUUUUAGUAUUUUUUACUUAAUUUUUAAAUAAUGUUAUUCUUCUAGUCUCAAUUUAUGUGGCACUAAUAAAAUUUUGCGAAUCUAACUUAAUUUUCUAUUUGUCUUUUAUUUUAUUUUAAUUAUUGUGAUAUAUAUUACUUUUACUUAAUUUUUAAAUAAUAUAUAUUACUUAUAUAUCCCUAUUUAUUCGGCACAGAUUCGAGGAUCAAAUCGGAUUUCUAUGUCUUUUAAAUUUUUUAAGUUUUUUAUUAUUGUGAUUUAUAGUAUUUUUUUACGUAAUUUUCAAAUAAUAUAUAUGAUUUCAUUUGUUUUAAUUUAUGUAGCAUCGAUAGAAUUUCAUGAGCAAUUUUUUAUAAUGAUUUUAAAAAAUUCAAGUUCUUAAUUAUUGAGAUUUAUAAUACUUUUUACGUAAUUUCUAAAUAAUACGAUUUAUUUUAUUUUUUACACAAUUUUUAAAUAUAUAAAAGACUAAAAAAUAAGACAUACAAAUUAAAACGGAAAAAUUAUCAAAAAUUACAAAAGUACCCUUAAAAUGAAAUACCCUUAAAAUGCCAACGGAAAAACUAUAAAAAAUAAAUAAAAAUAUACCCUUAAAAUGCCAUUUUUCUUUUCUUGAUAUGCUGCCAGGCAGGCAUGUUGACCAUGACCUUCCUGGUUAUUCUCCCUUAGGGGAUUACUAGACACAAGCACCCGUGCUAGUACGGGCCCAAUGUCUGUUAUUUUUUGUCUCACUGUAUGUGACACAGAAAAAAUUUAGAGAGUUAAUUAAAUUUUAAUAUGAUUUUUAAAUAUUUUAAGUUGUUAAUUGUUGUAAUUUAUAGUACUUUUACGUAAAUUUUAAAUAAUAUAUGUUACUUUCCUUGUCCCAAUAUAUGUAGCACAAAUAGAAUUUCAAGAGUCAAUAUGUUAUUAACUAUUGAGAUUUACAAUAUUUUUUACGUAGUUUUCAAAUUAAAUAAUACAUGUAACUUCUUUUAUUCCAUUUUAUGUGACAAAUAAAUUAAUUGUAUGAGUCAAUUGAAUUUUUAUAUAUGUUUUGUUAAAAAAAAUAUUUUAAAAUAUUAAUUAUCAUGAUUUAUAAUAUUUUUUAAGUAAUUUUUAAAUAUAUAAAAAAAUUAAAAAAUAAAACAAAUAAAUUAAAACAGAGGAAAAAAAUAGACAAAAGUAAUAGAAGUGUGGAACCACACAGGUGAAGCAGACAUGUUAACUGCCUCAUGUGUGGUUAUCCACACUUAUAAAUAAGUAGUAGAUAAAGAUGGAAUAACUAAAAUAUGAAUAAGAAAUAUAUUUACAUAAUACGAAAUGUCAAAAGCCUCAAAUCAAUAAAUAAGCUGAAAUUAAAACAGAAAUAAAUCAAUAAAUAAGCUGAAAUUAAAACAGAAAUAAAAAAACUGAAGUUGGCAAGGUUUGAACCCCAGACCUUGCACUUGCAAUGUCAAGCCUAAACCACCAAGUCAAACAACUAAAUAUGAAAAUAAGCACACAGCUGAAGCAGACAUGUUGACCCUCAGCUGUGUGCUUAUUGACACUUAUAUAUUAGUAGUGGAUACUAGAUAUAAGUGCCCGUGCUAGCAUGGGCCCAAUAUGUUAUUUUUUUGUCUCACUUUAUGUGACGGAUAAAAUUUAAAGAGUCAAUUAAAUUUUGAUAUGAUUUUUAAAUAUUUUAAGUUGUUAAUUAUUGUAAUUUUUACGUAAUUUUAAAAUAAUAUAUAUUACUUUCCUUGUCUCAAUAUAUGUAGCACAAAUAGAAUUUCAAGAGUUAAUAUGUAGUUAAUUAUUGAGAUUUAUAAUAUUUUUUACGUAGUUUUCAAAUUAAAUAAUACAUGCUACUUCUCUUGUCCCAUUUUGUGUGACACGAAUAUAUUAAUUUUAGUUGUCAAUUAUCAUGAUUUAUAUAUAUUUUUAUGCAAUUUUUAAAUAUAUAAAAAAUUAAAAAAAUAAGACAAACAAUUUAAAACGGAGAAAAAAAUAGGCAAAUAUAUAUGUAACUAUGGAACCACACAGGUGAAGCAGGCAGACCGUCACAUGUGUGGUUAUCGACACUUAUAUAUAAGCAGUAGAUUUUUUUGUCUCACUUUAUGUGACAUAAAUAAAAUUUAGAGAGUCAAUUAAAUUUUGAUAUGAUUUAUAAAAUUUUUAAGUUGUUAAUUAUUGUAAUUUUUACGUAAUCUUUAAAUAAUAUAUGUUACUUUCCUUGUCCCAAUAUAUGUAGCACAAAUAUAAUUUCAAUAUGUCGUUAAUUAUUGAGAUUUACAAUUUUUUUUACGAAUUAAAUAAUUCUUGUUACUUCUUUUGUCCCAUUUUAUGUGACACAGAUAUAUUAAUUUUAGUUGUCAAUUAUCAUAAUUUAUAGUAUUUUUUAUGCGAUUUUUAAAUAAUAUUAAAAAUUAAAAAAAUAAGACAAACAAAUUAAAACGAAAAAAAAAAAAGGCAAAUAUAUAUGUAAGUGUGGAACCACACAGGUUGAAGCAGGCAUAUUGACCUCCACCUGUGUGGUUAUCCACACUUAUAUAUAAGUAAUAGUAGAUAUAUAGUAGGGGACUAGACAAUGGAGCCCGUGCCAGCACGGGUCCAAUAUAUAUUGACUCUCUAAAUUAAUUUAAGUUAUUAAUUAUUGUGAUUUAUAAUAUAUUUUUUUGUAAUAUUUUGACACAAAAUAUAUAUUAUUUAUUUUAUCCUAAUUUAUGUGACACCGAUAAAAUUUCGAGAGCCAAUCGAAUUUUUUAUGUCUUACACAUAUUUUUAGUUGAUAAUUAUUGUGAUUUAUAAAAAUUUUACAUCAUUUUCCAAUAAUAUAUGUUACUCACUCUAUCUUAAUUUAUGUGACAUAGAUAUAAUUUUGAGAGUCAAUCGAAUUUUUUAUAUAUUAUAAAUAUUUUAAGUUGUUAAUUAUUGUGAUUUAUAAAACUUUUAGAAAACUUUAACAUUAUUUUUAAAUAAUAUAUGUUACUCAAUUUGUCUCAAUUUAUGUGAUAAAAUAGAAUUUUAAGAGUCAAUCGAAUUUUUAUAUAUCUUUUCAAUUUUUAGAUUGAAAAGAGUACCUUUAUCCCCCCCCCCCCUUUCGAAAAAGUCUAGAUAUACCCUCCAUUUAAAGUUUGGCUCACUCAUGCCCUCGCCGUCCAACUUUUCGUCUAAAUAUGCCCUUAUGGGAGUUAGUUGGUCUGCUGGACAUAUCUAGCUCAUUUUCCAUUUCUUUAAAUGUCAUUUGGAAUUGCCAUGUCAUUUUGACUUUACCACAUGACUUUUAUAUGAAAAUGGGAAAGGAUCAAUUAUGCCCCUAAAAAAUUUAAACUCAUAAACACCUGAUCCGACCCAUAAAUCAACCCCCCUUUUAAAUAAAAUGCCCAACCCGUUUUCAACAAUUUUGUUUAAAUUUUUAUUUUUUCGGUAAAUCCCAAAAAUUAGUAAUUGAUUAAUAAAAAAUAGGAAAAAUAUGAAAAAAAUAUAAAAUUAACGCCAAAAAUUCACAAAUAAAUAUUUUAACCUUAAAUUCAUCAAUUUCAACAAUUUUUUAAAAUUUUUAUUUUUUUCGGUAAAUCCCAAAAAAUGAGUAAUUGAUUAAUAAAAAAAUAUGGAAAAAAUAUAAAAUUAACGCCAAAAAAAUCACAAAUAAAUAUAGUAACCUUAAAUUCAAAAAAAUUUUCAAACAAUUUUUUUUAAAUUUUUAUUUUUUUUCGGCAAAUCCCGAAAAUGAGUAAUUGAUUAAUAAAAAAAUAUGAAAAAUAUGAAAAAAAUAUAAAAUUAAUCACAAAUAAAUAUAGUAACCUUAAAUUCAAAAAAUUCAACAAUUUUUUUUAAUUUUUAUUUUUUUUAAUAAAUUACUCAUUUUCAACAAAUAAAAUGUUAAUACUUAUUUUAGACAUAAUAAACUAAACUAAAGUUUAGUGUUAAAGGUUUGGGUGAUAAAGAUCUUGUGCAUUAUUAGUACAUAUCAUUAUAAUGAUUUAAAUGUCAUUUUAACACUUCCAUUAUUUCUUAUAUUUUAUAAAUUAUUUAAUAAAAGAUAAUUAAUGAUUUAAUAUAAAUUUAUUUCAUUACUUUUGAAGAUAUGGAUAAUUCUCCAAGCAAAUUAUCAAAUUAUAAAGAUAUUUGCUUGAUUGAUUCUGGUACAACACACAUGAUAUUAAAAAAUGAGAAAUAUUUUUCUCAUUUAAAUAUGGGCAAUAUGAAUGUUACUACGAUAUCUGGUAGUGCUAAUUUGAUCAAGGACUCCGGAAGAGCCAUUAUAAUUUUGCCCAAGGGAACCAAACUCAUAAUAAAUAAUGCCAUGUUUUCUCCUUAGUCUCGGAGAAACUUAUUGAGUUUCAAAGAUAUUCGUGAAAAUGGUUAUCAUAUCAAGACAAUUGAUGAAAUGAAUCUUGAAUAUCUUGGUAUACCAAAAAUGUCUCCGGGCAGACAUAUGUUGUAGAAAAAUUCACAGCUUUAUCUUCUGGAUUGUAUUGAACAAAAAUUAGUGCAAUUGAGGCACAUUAUAUAGUAAACUGGGGAUUUACUAAUUCCAAUACCUUUGUACUUUGGCAUGAUCGUCUACGACAUCUAUAAUGAUGAGACGAAUUAUAGAAAAUUCAAAUGGGCAUCCAUUAAAGAAUUUGAAAAUUCUUUUAAAUGGUGAAUUUUCUUGUAAUGCAUGUUAUCAAGGCAAGUUAAUUGUGAGACCAUCACCAACAAAGGUCAAAAUUGAGUCCCUGCAUUCUUGGAACGUAUACAUGGGGACAUUUGUGGACCUAUUCACCCACCAAGUGGGCCAUUUAGAUAUUUUAUGGUUCUGAUAGAAGCUUCUUCUAAAUGGUCUCAUGUGUGCCUAUUGUCAUCUCACAAUUUGGCAUUUACAAAAUUGUUGGCACAAAUAAUACGAUUAUAGGCACAAUUUCCUGACAAUCAGAUUAAGUCUAUUCGCCUUGAUAACGCUGCAGAGUUUUCAUCCCAGACAUUUAAUGAUUAUUGUCUAUCUAUUGGGAUAAGAGAUGAACAUCCUGUAGCUCAUGUUCACACUCAAAAUGGUCUGGCUGAGUCAUUAAUUAAACGAUAGUAGUUGAUAGCAAGACCAUUACUUAUGAAAACUAAGUUUCCCACUUCUGUGUGGGGUCAUGCAAUUUUACAUGCUGUAACACUUAUUCGUCUCUGACCGACACAUUAUCAUAAGUUCUUCCUAUUGCAAUUGGUUUUGGGUCAACAACCAAACAUAUCUCAUCUAAGAAUUUUUGGAUGCGCUGUAUAUGUGCCGGUAGCACCACCACAUCACACUAAGAUGGCCCCCAAAGAAGGUUAGAAAUAUAUAUUGGGUUUGAAUCACCCUCUAUUAUUCGCUACCUUGAACCACUAACAAGAGAUAUGUUCACAUCCCGAUUCGCGAAUUGUCGAUUUAAUGAGACAUUUUCCCCAAAAUUUGGGGGAGAAAAUAGUGAAAUUAAAGGAGAAAUUUUGUGGAAAAAUCCAUCAUUGUCUCAUCUUGAUCCCCGUACUUCCAUUUGUGAGCAAGAAGUACAAAAGAUCAUUCAUUUGCAGAAAAUUACAAAUCAAAUGCCAGACGCAUUUACAGAUUUGAAAAGGAUUACUAAAUCACAUAUUCCUGCAAAGAAUGUCCCAAUUCGAAUUGAUGUCCCUGUAGAACCAUCUACUAGUGUCAUAGCUAGUGAGUCAAAAGCACGCCUGAAGUGUGGUAGACCAUUAGGUUCAAAGGAUCAAAAUCCUAGAAAAAGAAAAUUAAAAGAUUAAAAUGACACUAUGAAAAAACCUCACAUAGAAAGUCAAGAUGUGAAUAAUUCUGGUAUCCUUGAAGGGAUCAAUGAGCUUGAGACUCAAGAAAAUAAUGAACUAUCCAUAACAUCAAGUGAUGAUGAAACAAAUCUGAAUCGAUCAGAAAUAGCGGUGGAUUAUGUUUUUGCAUACAAUGUUGCAUAAAAAAUUAUGCAAAAUAGUGAGGAUUUUGAACCUCAAUUUGUUGUAGAAUGUCGACAAAGAAAUGAUUGGCCAAAAUGGCAAGAGCAAUUCAAUCAGAAUUGAAUUCACUUGUCAAACACGAAGUUUUUGUGCCUAUAGUACAAACACCUAAUGGUAUUAAACCUGUUGGCUAUAAAUGGAUUUUUAUGCGGAAAAGGAAUGAGAAAAAUGAAAUACAAAGGUACAAAGCACGUCUUGUUGCAUAAGGAUUUUCUCAAAGGCCUGGCGUCGAUUAUGAAGAGACAUACUCACCUGUUAUGGAUGCAAUAACAUUGCGUUAUCUCAUUAAUUUCAUGAUCCAUGAGAGGCUUGAAAUGCAUUUGAUGGAUGUGGUUACAACCUAUCUUUAUGGAUCACUCGAUAAUGAUAUCUACAUGAAAAUUCCUGAAGGAUUCAAAAUGCCCAAAGCAUACAAUUCAAAGUCUCGGAAAAUGUACUCAGUUAGAUUGCAAAGAUCAUUGUAUAGUUUGAAGCAAUCUGGAUGUAUGUGGUAUAACUGUCUUAGUGAGUAUUUAUCUAAGGAAGGUUAUAUAAAUGAUGCGAUUUGUCCCUGUGUGUUUAUAAAGAAGGCAAUGUCAGAGUUUGUUGUACUUGUUGUUUAUGUUGAUGGCAUAAACCUUAUUGGAACUCCAAUGGAACUUCAUAGGGUAAUCGAAUAUUUGAAGAACGAUUUUGAGAUGAAAGAUCUCGGAAAGACAAAAUUAUGUCUUGGUUUGCAAAUAGAGCAUUUGAUAAACGGUAUCUUUGUUCAUCAAUCUGCAUACACAGAAAAAGUGUUGAAAAGAUUUUAUAUGGAUGCAACACAUCCAUUAAGUACUCCAAUGAUUGUUCGAUCACUUGAUGUGAAUAAAGAUCCAUUUCGACCUUAAGAAAAGAAUGAGGAAAUUCUUAGUCCUGAAGUACCAUAUCUCAGUGCAAUUGGUGCAUUAAUGUAUCUUGCUAACACUACAAGGCCUGAUAUAACCUUUUCGGUUAAUUUGUUAGCAAGAUAUAGUUCUGCUCCUAUUAGGAGACAUUGGAAUGGGAUCAAACACAUAUUGCGGUAUCUAAAAGGGACUAUCGAUAUGGGCUUAUUCUAUUCUAACGAUUGCAGUCCAAACCUUGUUGGUUAUGUUGAUGCAGGAUAUCUAUCUUACCCACAUAAAGCCCGAUCUCAAACAAAUUACGUAUUCAUAUGUGGGGGUACUGCCAUAUCUUCGAGAUUUACGAAGCAAUCUAUUGUGGCCACUUCAUCAAAUCAUGCUGAGAUAAUAGCUAUUCAUGAAGCAAAUCGAGAAUGUGUGUGGUUAAGGUCCAUAAUACACCUUAUUCGAGAAAAAUGUGGUUUGAAAUGCGACAAAGUACCCACAAUUUUAUAUGAGGAUAAUGCAGCAUGCAUAACACAACUCAGGGGAGAAUUCAUAAAAAGGAGAUAGAACGAAACACAUUUCACCGAAGUUCUUCUAUACACACAUGAGCUCCAGAAGAAUGGUGAUAUCAACGUACAUCAGAUUCGUUCGAGUGAUAAUGUGGCUGGUUUAUUCACUAAGUCUUUGCCAAUCGCAACUUUCGAGAAGAUGGUAUACAAGAUUGGAAUGAGAAAACUUGGAUAACUAAAUCGUGAUUUUCAUCAGGGGAGUAAAAUACGCGCUGUACUCUUUUUUCCUUAAUCAAGGUUUUAUCCCACUAGGUUUUCCUGAUAAGGUUUUUAAUGAGGCAGCAAGUAAUGCGUAUUAGUAACAACUAUUUAUACUUGUUACUUUACUAAGAAUUUUAUUUUACAUGGACAUCCAAGGGGGAGUGUUGUAAAUGGAUUAAUGAAUGUCCAUUAUACCCUUCUUAUGCCUAUAUAAAAGACAUUGUAACUUGUAUGGAAAAACACACAAAAAUUUCCUAUUUUAUCUCUCUACUACAUUCUUCUCUUCUUGGUUGUUAUUAGUUUAAUUUUAUUACUUAGUCUUUAUUUUAUAACAAGUACAAUUAUUAACCGAAUUUUGCUUAAGAUACUCAAAGCUUUUAAUUUCUGAUAUUUCGAGAGUGCCCCUUGGUCGGCAAGCAAGCAUGACGACCUUGCUUGAGUUAGUCUCUUAUACUAGAUCAGUGCAGCCCGUGCUAUGCACGGGCCCAACAAAUUAUUUGUAUUACAAAAUUAUAAGGAAUGCAAAUUUAUAUUUACAAAUAUACUACAAAAUUGCCUCUUAGGUAUGGAGGAAGGCCAAUAGCCCUUUGUUGUUUGUAUGAAAGUUUAAGUAAAAUAAGAAACUAAAAGUUCUUACAACAUUUGAUAAGAAAAAGUAAACAAACAAUGUAGAUUCAAACUGCACAACAUGAAUAAAUGUAUUAAUGAUCUCCUAAUUAAGUUACCAAAAUUGUUGAUAAACAGAUCAACACACAAUCUCUAGAAAAUAAUUAAUCAAAUAAUAUGCUCAAAAAUACAUUUCAAUCUAAAUAUAUUAAAAUUUGUCAACCGAUAAAAUAAAACAGGGAUAAAGACAACACUGUUAAUUCAGUACCUAGCCACUUGAAACUUUAUUUCACAUCAUCAAUAAAUAAUAUCACCAAAAAAGAUUUAUAUAUAUAUUUAUCUAUAAAAAAUUGAUAGGUUUGAAACGUUCAGCAUUUUUUAAGCAACCAUCAUACAACAUGAAGCUACUUGUUCACAAAAUUUCAGUACCAUGACAAUUUGCAGCUUUUUCUGUACUCUUCAUGAGUUAAUCUAAGAUUACGUGUAUUUUGCACUUCCAAUUUGAUUCAGUAUUGUCCCUAAAAUUAAAAAGGAUCUUAGUACUUGCUCCUUAGGUUCAUUAGAUCAAUAAUAGUGACAACAUCCAAGUAUAUUAAUCUAAUGCAAGGUGUCAUACACUAAAAAAAGAAAAAGAAAAGGAAUAAAAAACUCAGAUACACAUCUAAGAUCUGAGCUUCUAAUGUAUAAACAUUAUAACAAAAAGAAUUGAAUUGAAGAGCAUAUGAAGGUUCAGAUAGCGAAAAGACAAUCAUAAUCACGGUAGAAAAUAUAAUGUGAAUAGAUUAUUACUGUUAAAGAAGUAAAGAAAAGAAUAGUCGUUAGGGUCCGCAUUAAAUAUAACUACAAUAGAAACAUUUGUUCCUACAACUAAUUUUGUCAAGGUAUCCAUAGCAAAAUCAUGAAAGCAUGCAAGAUUAUUGAUUAAAACUAUACAUGUUGCCUCAAAAAAGUAAUAAAAGAACUAUACAAAUAUCUAAUAUUGAAAAAUCUACACAAAGUUCAUCAAAAAACUUGAAUAACUAAGGGUCAGAAGAAUUUUCAAAUUUAAUGUGGUGCUAAUAAGAGGAAGAGGUUCCAAAUGAUGCAGAGAUAAAAUGUUUCAAGGAAUAAAUAAAUAAAAACCUAAAAGAUAAAUUUGGAAAUACAAUAAGCAUCAAACUUAAGUCGAAAAGAAAAGAUUUCCCAUCAAAUCCAAUCACAAAGAAUGUACCACACUUACAUGUAGUAGUGUAACAUAUAGCAAGACUGGUGGAUCAAUUAAAGUGAAGACUCUAGAUUAAUCAAGUCCUAAAUGAGGUACAUUCAAUUGGGUUAAAGAUUAUGCAGCUGCCUUAUGCGGCUAAUCCAUUAGGAAAUGUUGAUACUUUAGGCAACUUUUUAAAUAAUUUUUCAUUGAUAAAUUCCCUUCCUGAUUUUUGUAAUAUCAAUAUCAAAAUACAUUAUACGUAUUUCAGUAAGUUUAGCUAUAAUAGAAGAAAUGAAGAUGAAUAAUCAUAAAAUUCAUUCAAUAGAGAUAAACCUGCUCCAAGUUACCAUUGAUCUCUAUUGUACAACCUUAAAUUCAUGAAAAUACCCUUAAAGAAACAAACACAACUGUAAAAUCUAAUUAAAAGAACAAAAUAUAAAAAAGUUGAAAUGAAAAAAGUGAUGAUAUAAGUAUAAAUGUUAAUCUUAUUCUUUGUUAACAUUGUUCAGUCGAUUCUUAGAACCAUCAGACAUGAUUUUUUCUCCUGCACAUAUACAAAUUAUCAUUUGACAUAUAAAAAGUGCUAAGCUAAGUUUGCGACUAUCUGAUGGCCCAAUAUUUUAUAUUGAGAAUAGCUUGUCAAAUGACUAACAAUAUAUAUUAACCAUCUUAUCCAUCCUAAAAUACAUUUGUCGACAUCUAAUAUAUUAAUCUCAUCAAAGUCGCUCUCUUACAUUUAAAACUUUGAAUGUUAAAUAUAUAUGUACCUUUUGAUGUUUGAACUCAACACCUUCCACCAACUCCAAAAGGUGAAAGGAGGUGGAAUAAUUAGUGAUUCUCUUAGUAUACACAUUCACGACACAAUGAAGUGUUAGAACUUGUACCAUGACAUAGCCAAAGUAGAAAAUAUCUUGCAUGUAUAAAGAAAAAAAAAUUGAAAUAUAAGAUGCAGCAUACUUGAUUUAGGCAUCUGGAGUAUUCAGUAGUAGUAAAUUCAUUCAGUAACAACUUUCAAGCAACAAUCUUCUCCAUUUACCAUUUUAAUUAUAGAAAUCAGGCCCAUAGAGUUAAGGGUUAAAAAAAUUUUAAAAAAAGAAGUAGUUCAGCAACAUUAACUCUUUUAGUUUCUACCACUACCUGCCUGUACAUGACAUAUAUAGGCUUAGCUUUUAGUUUUUUUUGGAUUCGUGGUGGUUCAGAAAAGAGUAGGAAUGCUAUCAGUUACUUGUUUAACUUUUAAAAAAAAAUUGUUCAACUAAACUCAUAGAGAGUUGCGGAAAGGAUGAGAAGAAUUUCUUACCGAGUUACUUUGAAAUGCAUCGUCGAACGGGUUCUACCAACUGCAUUUGCAGUAUGGCUGACCGCAGUUCUUCGAAAGAUGCUCAACUGAAUAUUUUGUGGGAGAAACAUUUAAAAAAUUGGUAUGCAUCUAUAGAUAUUGCUGCUCAUAGAUAAUGGCAUUACCAUAUUGCCUUGAGAAAUGGUGCUUUCAUAACAUUUAUUCAAGAAAGCGACUGCCUUUGCUGUGAUGCUCUCUAGCAGGAGCCCAACCACUUAAAGUUUGAUAGAUAUCCAAUAGAAAACAUGAAGAACGUAAUAGACAACGGAGUAAGCGAAAGCAUAUAAAAUCACAUGCUAUUAUUUUAUAAGCUUGCUAAAUUAGGUAAAAGUAAGUAUCAGACAAAGAUCUCCACCAAAAAAGAACCCAAAAAAUGCCAAAAACUACAUAAAGGAAUUUCCACUAUAACAAGCAACCAAAAACACAUAAAAGUCCAUAGCAGACUAAGGUCAGAGCAUAUUACCUUGAUAUCACUUCCACAAAAAAGUAUGUAUUCAUAAAUCUUGUAUGCUGAUAAACAGACAACACUACAAAUACUGAUGAGAGAGUAAGCUCAUGUCCUAUUCCAUCCCAUUUAACCUGUACAACACAAAAACAAAAUGCAUCAAUGACCACCUAUUUAAGCUACUACAAUGUUAAUAAGAUUAAAUGCAUCAAGACACAAUUCCAUGAAGCACAUCUAGACCUAUCAGCCACUCAUACCUCCAAGGAAAUAAUCAAUAACAAGCUAAAAAUAUAUUGUGGAUUAAAUUGAUCACAUGUGUCAAGUGAACAAUAAGAAGAGAUAGAAUUUUUUUUUCUAUAUAUCUGAUUCAACUUAGUUAGUUACAUUAAUCUAAGUUGCUUGGCAAUGGAAAGGAAGCAUUGACAACUUAUCAUGAGAGCUUGAAGAAUGUUUAGAACGAAAAUCACAACACAGAAGGGGCAAUCAAAAGGAUUUCAUGUAGGGAAGGAUGACCAUGAGAAGAAACAAUGUAAUAAAAAGGAAGUCGUAAAUUUAAGGUCUCUACUAAUGAAUUGUGCACAGGUUAUUGUUACCGAUGAUUAGCACACAAAAGAACACUCCAUUCUAUAUAAUUAAAACUCAAUUCAGAUUUUCUCUAAUGCAAUCCAACAUCAUAUAAUAUUGCUAUAUUUUAGCACUGACGAAUGUCUGUAGGGCAUACCUAUAUAACAGAAAAAACAAAAUGUACAUAGGUCAUACUAAUAUAUUUACUUGUAUAAUUUGAUCAGUAUAAUAGAGUGAAGAGAAAUGACUUAACUAAGAAUCAAGCUGAUAAUGCCAUGAAACAAUAUAUCAUAAUGUAAAGACCAAAUAAGCAACAAAAUUGAUUACUCAAUUUUAUUAGAAGCAUCCAUGAGGUUCCAAAUAUUAGUUGCAUAAUUAUGAAUGCAUAUAUUUGUAGCAUAGCAUGACAACAGAGAAGAAUACAUGUAUAAUAGAGUGAAGAGAAAUGACUUAACUGAGAAUCAAGCUGAUAAUGCCAUGAAACAAUAUAUCAUAAUGUAAAGACCAAAUAAGCAACAAAAUUGAUUACUCAAUUUUAUUAGAAGCAUCCAUGAGGUUCCAAAUAUUAGUUGCAUAAUUAUGAAUGCAUAUAUUUGUAGCAUAGCAUGACAACAGAGAAGAAUACAUAUAAAUGUUGGACAAGAAUUUCUUACCAAAGUAAUACUGGCACCAGCCCACUGUAUCCAAGAAUUGUUUGGAAAGCUGAAGAAAUCAUUAUAGCUCCCUGCAACUCCUUUAUGAUUUGUUUGAAAUUCUACAAGUAGGAGAAUCUGAUUCAUAAAUGGUUGAAGUAGUAAUACGAUAAAACAAAUUGAACAGAGAGAAAAUUAAGCCACAUUAUUCUUACCUACCUUUGUGAUAUGUCAAUAUUAAUCUCAACGUUGCCUCAAUAAUAUGAAUCAUAAAAAGCUAUUAGCACUCUCUUUAUGAGUCAUUUCGAUAAAUUUAUAUGAUAUAUUAAAUAGCAUUUUUCAUUACUAUGUAAUGAGUGAAAAAAGUUCAUAAUAUUUUCAUCACUGAACAAACCACAUCACAAUAUAUGAUCAUUCGAACUUCUUUACUCUCCGCAAAUCAUAACAAAUUAAAUGAGCAUCAGCUGAUGUAUUAGAAAAGAAAAAGAUAACUACAUAUACCAAUUAAGAAGCCUGCCAUAUUUUUCUUGUUUAACUUUUUUUAAGAAAAAAAUUAUAAUCUAGAGUUGUCUAAGUCUUUGAUCAGAACUAUUCAAUCCAAUCGUAACCUAUUUUCAUAUGUGGUUGAAAAAUCUUCGUUUAGUUUCAUUAUGCAAUAUAAAAGUUAAGAACUAAAAAAAUAAACAUCCAAUGUAAUGGUAUGUUCUGCCCUUAAGCAAAUACUCUUCUACUUAGUAGUUAGUACUUACUUUAAAUUUUUCUUUCAUUAAUCAAGAUAGACACUUUGUAACUUAUUUUAUCGCUAAAUUUAUGGAAAUGUAAAUCCAAAGUUCCAACUUCCACACUAACCUCUUCUACCGCAUGCUUAACACUAUCUAAUUACAAAAAUCAAUUUAGAUAAGAUAAUAAAUCCCUCAUACAGAUUAACAGAAAAAAUAAAAUAAAAGUUGGACAAAUAUUGAAUGAGGAGUAGAACUGAAACAAUCAACACCCAACGAAGAAGUUUUUUAUUUUUUGUAGAUCACCCAACUAAGAAGUUGAAUGAACUGAAAAAGUAUUAUCUAAAAUAUAAGAAAAUUAAAAAAAAGAAAAAAAAAGAAAGGGGUAAAUCAAUCGUCUCUCUGCAAACAUGAAAAAAGUUGAAAGAAAAAAUACAUGAAAAUGUACCAUUCAACUGCGGAGAUGAAGAGAAUUGAAAGAGUAUCUUGAAAUCUGAAGAGAUUAUAAUAACUUAGGAAGAAAUCCUUGUUUGUCUGCUAGCAAAACAACAUCAAUAACAACUGAGAAAAUAGCAAGGAAAAUCCUACUUCUCCUCAACCCAAAAUUUCAGUUUCAGGUUUUCUCAACCCAAAAUUCCAAUCUACAGCAUCAACUAAGAAAUUUCGAGAAGAAGAUUUGAGCGGAGAUUGAGAAGAAGCCAUACCUUAAAUUGCAAGAAAUUCUUUAAAUUUAUUUAAGGAGAAUUGGCAUAGUACUCCUCUCUUCUCUUGGAAAAUGAAACGAACGUUUAUAGAGUAUGUGUGUCCUCCAAUGGAAGAACUCUGGAAGCUCCCAGAAUGAAAGAGACAGUUUCAGACUUUCAGUCUCCAACUUGAAAAUAUCAUGGAGUGAAA